Molecule: ribosomal RNA, 2918 nt
Filed under: Aeromonas hydrophila
Lineage: Bacteria; Pseudomonadati; Pseudomonadota; Gammaproteobacteria; Aeromonadales; Aeromonadaceae
Description: 23S ribosomal RNA
Rfam family: Bacterial large subunit ribosomal RNA
Source: RNAcentral
GUUGUAUGGUUAAGUGACUAAGCGUACAUGGUGGAUGCCUUGGCAGUCAGAGGCGAUGAAGGACGUACUAACCUGCGAUAAGCCGUGAGCAGUCGGUAAGAGACAUUACGACUCACGGAUUUCCGAAUGGGGAAACCCACUUAGCAUAAGCUAGGUAUCGCUACGUGAAUACAUAGCGUAGCGAGGCGAACCGGGAGAACUGAAACAUCUAAGUACCCCGAGGAAAAGAAAUCAACCGAGAUUCCCUCAGUAGCGGCGAGCGAACGGGGAUUAGCCCUUAAGCAUCUUGGAAGUUAGUGGAACGGUCCUGGAAAGGCCGGCGAUACAGGGUGAUAGCCCCGUACACGAAAACAACCUUGAUGUGAAAUCGAGUAGGGCGGGACACGUGACAUCCUGUCUGAAUAUGGGGGGACCAUCCUCCAAGGCUAAAUACUCCUGACUGACCGAUAGUGAACCAGUACCGUGAGGGAAAGGCGAAAAGAACCCCUGUGAGGGGAGUGAAAUAGAACCUGAAACCGUGUACGUACAAGCAGUGGGAGCCCUUCGGGGUGACUGCGUACCUUUUGUAUAAUGGGUCAGCGACUUACAUUUUGUAGCGAGGUUAACCGUAUAGGGGAGCCGUAGGGAAACCGAGUCUUAACUGGGCGUCUAGUUGCAAGGUGUAGACCCGAAACCGGGUGAUCUAGCCAUGGGCAGGUUGAAGGUUGAGUAACAUCAACUGGAGGACCGAACCCACUAACGUUGCAAAGUUAGGGGAUGACCUGUGGCUGGGGGUGAAAGGCCAAUCAAACUCGGAGAUAGCUGGUUCUCCCCGAAAGCUAUUUAGGUAGCGCCUCGGACGAAUACUACUGGGGGUAGAGCACUGUUUGGGCUAGGGGGUCAUCCCGACUUACCAACCCCAUGCAAACUCCGAAUACCAGUAAGUAAUAUCCGGGAGACACACGGCGGGUGCUAACGUCCGUCGUGAAGAGGGAAACAACCCAGACCGCCGGCUAAGGUCCCAAAGUUCUGGUUAAGUGGGAAACGAUGUGGGAAGGCUCAGACAGCUAGGAUGUUGGCUUAGAAGCAGCCAUCAUUUAAAGAAAGCGUAAUAGCUCACUAGUCGAGUCGGCCUGCGCGGAAGAUGUAACGGGGCUCAAACCAGGCACCGAAGCCGCGGAUUCACGCUAAGCGUGAGUGGUAGGGGAGCGUUCUGUAAGUCUGCGAAGGUGUGUCGAGAGGCAUGCUGGAGAUAUCAGAAGUGCGAAUGCUGACGUAAGUAACGAUAAAGGGGGUGAAAAGCCUCCUCGCCGGAAGACCAAGGGUUCCUGUCCAACGUUAAUCGGGGCAGGGUGAGUCGACCCCUAAGGCGAGGCCGAAAGGCGUAGUCGAUGGGAAGCAGGUUAAUAUUCCUGCACGACUUGUAAUUGCGAUGGGGGGACGGAGAAGGCUAGGUGGGCCAGGCGACGGUUGUCCUGGUGAAAGUGCGUAGGUGGUGUUUCUAGGCAAAUCCGGAGACACAACACUGAGACACGAGACGAACACACUACGGUGUGGAAGCCAUUGAUGCCCUGCUUCCAGGAAAAGCCUCUAAGCUUCAGAUUACAAGUCAUCGUACCCCAAACCGACACAGGUGGUCGGGUAGAGAAUACCAAGGCGCUUGAGAGAACUCGGGUGAAGGAACUAGGCAAAAUAGAACCGUAACUUCGGGAGAAGGUUCGCUCUUGACAGUGAAGUCCCUUGCGGAUGGAGCAGUUGGGAGUCGCAGUGACCAGAUGGCUGGGACUGUUUAUCAAAAACACAGCACUCUGCAAACACGAAAGUGGACGUAUAGGGUGUGACACCUGCCCGGUGCCGGAAGGUUAAUUGAUGGGGUUAGCGCAAGCGAAGCUCUUGAUCGAAGCCCCGGUAAACGGCGGCCGUAACUAUAACGGUCCUAAGGUAGCGAAAUUCCUUGUCGGGUAAGUUCCGACCUGCACGAAUGGUGUAACCAUGGCCAUGCUGUCUCCACCCGAGACUCAGUGAAAUCGAAUUCGCCGUGAAGAUGCGGUGUACCCGCGGCUAGACGGAAAGACCCCGUGAACCUUUACUACAGCUUGGCACUGAACAUUGAACCUACAUGUGUAGGAUAGGUGGGAGGCUUUGAAGGCGUGACGCCAGUUGCGCUGGAGCCGUCCUUGAAAUACCACCCUUGUAUGUUUGAUGUUCUAACGCAGGCCCGUGAAUCCGGGUCGCGGACAGUGCCUGGUGGGUAGUUUGACUGGGGCGGUCUCCUCCCAAAGAGUAACGGAGGAGCACGAAGGUUGGCUAAUCCUGGUCGGACAUCAGGAGGUUAGUGCAAUGGCAUAAGCCAGCUUAACUGCGAGACGGACAGGUCGAGCAGGUACGAAAGUAGGUCAUAGUGAUCCGGUGGUUCUGAAUGGAAGGGCCAUCGCUCAACGGAUAAAAGGUACUCCGGGGAUAACAGGCUGAUACCGCCCAAGAGUUCAUAUCGACGGCGGUGUUUGGCACCUCGAUGUCGGCUCAUCACAUCCUGGGGCUGAAGUCGGUCCCAAGGGUAUGGCUGUUCGCCAUUUAAAGUGGUACGCGAGCUGGGUUCAGAACGUCGUGAGACAGUUCGGUCCCUAUCUGCCGUGGGCGUUGGAUGAUUGAAGGGAGUUGCUCCUAGUACGAGAGGACCGGAGUGAACGAACCUCUGGUGUUCGGGUUGUCACGCCAGUGGCACUGCCCGGUAGCUAAGUUCGGAAUCGAUAACCGCUGAAAGCAUCUAAGCGGGAAGCGAGCCCUGAGAUGAGUCAUCCCUGACCCCUUGAGGGUCCUAAAGGGCCGUUGGAGACCACAACGUUGAUAGGUGGGGUGUGUAAGCGCGGCGACGUGUUGAGCUAACCCAUACUAAUUACCCGUGAGGCUUAACCAUACAACACCCAAGAAGUGUUCUG